AGCCCCUGGCAAUGGGCGAAGAGAUACCUUGUUGGUGGUGCUGUUCUUAUAUCAGUCAAGGGCAGAGCAGAUGUCAGUCCUUUGUUCAUCCUAGCUUGAUGCCUGGCUUGGUGGUCAAAGCAAAGCUGUCUCAUGCCUAGGACACAAAA
RNAcentral lists this small nucleolar RNA (149 nucleotides) under Meriones unguiculatus (Mongolian gerbil). RNAcentral describes it as "Small nucleolar RNA SNORA48 (ENSMUGG00000008810.1)". It matches the Rfam family "Small nucleolar RNA SNORA48". From Rfam's summary of the family: The snoRNA ACA 48 has been identified to guide pseudouridylation of the residue U3797 in the 28S rRNA subunit. Its host gene EIF4A1 (eukaryotic translation initiation factor 4A1) is shared with U67 and snoRNA mgU6-77 The record is from RNAcentral. Lineage: Eukaryota; Metazoa; Chordata; Mammalia; Rodentia; Muridae.